GGGACAAGUCACUGAACUUGGACUUUAAGCUCAAAGUUAAAAACCCAGCUUCACCACUUUAUCAGGGACCGGACACCAGAGCAUUCUUCAGAAAAUUGAAGUCUGUGAGUGCAACUUUGCAUGUGAGCACAAUGUAACUGCUUCAUCAUGGGCCAUCUGAGGCAGCUCUUCGAUUAGAGUAGUCCGAAGGAAAGCCCGUGAUACAUCGCAGUGCUCUUCCCAGGUCACAGGUGUGGGAGAUGAGGUUCACAAAUGGUGAGAGAGAAGAUGUGCCCUUGGGGCCAAAAGGGUGACCAGCAAGGGCACUGGCCAAUGGGGGUCUUAAAAGAUGUGGAGGAGGCCCCACCUCUGGAGUGUGAAAAUCUGCCUGCCUAUACCCCAUCGUGCUCAGAGCCUUUUUAAGGGUUUAAGCUUAGCCCAUGGAACCAUGAACAUCUGGCUCUUUUUUUCCACCCUACUGAAACA
Molecule: long non-coding RNA, 465 nt
Organism: Zalophus californianus (California sea lion)
Lineage: Eukaryota; Metazoa; Chordata; Mammalia; Carnivora; Otariidae
Exons: 3
Source: RefSeq, a predicted model, not a curated record